UACGGGGGGAGCAAGCGUUGUUCGGAAUUACUGGGCGUAAAGCGUGCGCAGGCGGUUUUGUAAGUCUGAUGUGAAAUCCCCGGGCUCAACCUGGGAAUUGCAUUGGAGACUGCAAGGCUAGAAUCUGGCAGAGGGGGGUAGAAUUCCACGUGUAGCAGUGAAAUGCGUAGAGAUGUGGAGGAACACCGAUGGCGAAGGCAGCCUCCUGGGCCAGCACUGACGCUCAUGCACGAAAGCGUGGGGAGCAAACAGG
Molecule: ribosomal RNA, 253 nt
Filed under: uncultured bacterium
Lineage: Bacteria
Description: partial 16S ribosomal RNA
Rfam family: Bacterial small subunit ribosomal RNA
Source: RNAcentral